RNAcentral lists this ribosomal RNA (453 nucleotides) under Clostridioides difficile. Its description in RNAcentral is "bacterial SSU rRNA". It matches the Rfam family "Bacterial small subunit ribosomal RNA", at positions 277 to 748 of the family's 1533-position model. The record is from RNAcentral. Lineage: Bacteria; Bacillati; Bacillota; Clostridia; Peptostreptococcales; Peptostreptococcaceae.
CGAUCAGUAGCCGACCUGAGAGGGUGAUCGGCCACAUUGGAACUGAGACACGGUCCAAACUCCUACGGGAGGCAGCAGUGGGGAAUAUUGCACAAUGGGCGAAAGCCUGAUGCAGCAACGCCGCGUGAGUGAUGAAGGCCUUCGGGUCGUAAAACUCUGUCCUCAAGGAAGAUAAUGACGGUACUUGAGGAGGAAGCCCCGGCUAACUACGUGCCAGCAGCCGCGGUAAUACGUAGGGGGCUAGCGUUAUCCGGAUUUACUGGGCGUAAAGGGUGCGUAGGCGGUCUUUCAAGUCAGGAGUGAAAGGCUACGGCUCAACCGUAGUAAGCUCUUGAAACUGGGAGACUUGAGUGCAGGAGAGGAGAGUGGAAUUCCUAGUGUAGCGGUGAAAUGCGUAGAUAUUAGGAGGAACACCAGUUGCGAAGGCGGCUCUCUGGACUGUAACUGACGCUG